This 487-nucleotide long non-coding RNA is filed under the name Gallus gallus (chicken). The record is from RNAcentral. Lineage: Eukaryota; Metazoa; Chordata; Aves; Galliformes; Phasianidae.
GGGGAUGGAAUGUGGCGUGGGGACUCCGUGGGGCGCUGAGACCCCCAGAGAGGGAGUGGGGCUGCACCGCCGGGACGGUGUGAGGGGGUCCCAGGCUGGGGUUUGCCCGAGGGAACCCUGUAGGGGUGGUGGGCUGCGCCGUGUGGGCCCUCUGGGGGGGGUCCGCGGUGUGGAUCGCGCCCGUAGAGCCCCACCGGGGCGCUGAGACCCCGUGGGGGGACUGGGGCUCCAGUUGGGGCUGCACUAUCGGGGCCCCAUAGGGGUACUGGGGGGGUCUCUGAUCGGGGCUGCACUGUUAGAACCGCAUAGUGGUAUUGGAGGAGAGGCUCUGAUUGGGGAACCGUAGUGGUAUGGGGGGGGGAACGAGCCCUAUUGGAGCCGCCCCAUUGGGACCCCCCACAGGUCCCCACGCGGGGCCGGGCUCUCUCCGGGCAGUGGAAGGGGAGGGAGAGUCCAUUCCGGGGCCGUCCCACCGCAGAAGGGGGGG